This is a long non-coding RNA of Clupea harengus (Atlantic herring), 1230 nucleotides long. The record is from Ensembl. NCBI's taxonomy places the organism in Eukaryota, Metazoa, Chordata, Actinopteri, Clupeiformes, Clupeidae.
GCAGCGCUUGCCUGGGUAUUGCAGCCAUAAAAUCCUCCACCCUGUUUUGUAUUGGUUAUGACAAACAGAAACACUCACCCACUGUGUCUCUGACCUACAAACAUCAGAAAUACUAUUCAGUGUCAUCCAUUCUACUGAAAAAAGACAAUACAUGCAUACCAUCUUGAGGUUCCAUUGUUGGCACUUUAUUGACUGCAAUGUAUUUCAACUCUGAGUGGGCUGAGGUGAGUGAUAACUAGAGGCACCACGGAAGAAGCUGGACAAUGCAGAGUUGUUCCUUGAUACUUGUGCUGUUGUCAGCACUAUUCAAUACAGCCCAAACUCUCCCAACCACAAAUCCAGACUACAGCACAACAAUUCUCCUUUUUCCCUUUAAUUAUUCUAGCACUGUUGGCCAAGCUGAUACUACUCUCUCCGGUGUGACACCUGCUGUAUCUCACAGUCCACAGUCUACUGGGACUCAACCAUCAGCAACAACCAUCAACAUCUCCCAUCCUAACCCAACUUCUCCAUCCAGCACUCCUGUUUCUCCCACAGCUAUCUUCACUCUUGCCACAACUACUCCCAAUAACACUCUACUUCCCCCUACCAAUACCACAACCCCUCAAUCAAGUACGCUUACUAUGACUACAGCUCCCUCCUCUCCUGCCACAAGAUCAAGUACUGCAGUUACUACUGAAGCUACUGUCUCCUAUAAUACAACUCCUCCAUCAACUUCUCCCAAUACCACUCUAUUUCCCCCUACCAAUACCACAACCCCUCAAUCAAGUACGCUUACUAGGACUACAGCUCUCUCUACUCCUAACACAACAUCAAGUACAGCAGUUACUAUUGAGGCUACUGUCAAUUAUACUACAACUCCUCCAUCAACUACUCCCAAUAACACUCUACUUCCCCCUACCAAUACCACAACCCCUCAAUCAAGUACGCUUACUAUGACUACAGCUCUCUCUACUCCUGCAACAACAUCAAGUACUGCAGUUACUCCUGAAGCUACUGUCAAUUAUACUACAACUCCUCCAUCAACUACUCCCAAUACCACUCUACUUCCCCCUACCAAUACCACAACCCCUCAAUCAAGUACGCUUACUAUGACUACAGCUCUCUCUACUCCCGCCACAACAUCAAGUACUGCAGUUACUCCUGAAGCUACUGUCAAUUAUACUACAACUCCUCCAUCAACUACUCCCAAUACCACUCUACUUCCCCCUACCAAUACCUCAACCCCUC